RNAcentral lists this ribosomal RNA (263 nucleotides) under uncultured bacterium. RNAcentral describes it as "partial 16S ribosomal RNA". It matches the Rfam family "Bacterial small subunit ribosomal RNA", at positions 793 to 1055 of the family's 1533-position model. The record is from RNAcentral.
GUCCUAGCCCUAAACGAUGGAUGCUUGGUGUAGCGGGUACCCAAUCUCGCUGUGCCGGAGCUAACGCGUUAAGCAUCCCGCCUGGGGAGUACGGUCGCAAGGCCGAAACUCAAAGGAAUUGACGGGGGCCCGCACAAGCGGUGGAGCAUGUGGUUCAAUUCGACGCAACGCGAAGAACCUUACCUGGGCUCGAAGCGCAGUGGAUAGGAGUGGAAACACUCUUUCCCGCAAGGGCUGCUGCGUAGGUGCUGCAUGGCUGUCGU